RNAcentral lists this ribosomal RNA (451 nucleotides) under uncultured bacterium. RNAcentral's name for it is "bacterial SSU rRNA". It matches the Rfam family "Bacterial small subunit ribosomal RNA", at positions 94 to 541 of the family's 1533-position model. The record is from RNAcentral.
AGCGGCGGACGGGUGAGUAACGCGUAGAAAUCUACCCAGUAGCGGGGGAUAGCCCGGGGAAACCCGGAUUAAUACCGCAUACGCCCUACGGGGGAAAGCAGGGGAUCUUCGGACCUUGCACUAUUGGAUGAGCCUGCGUUGGAUUAGCUUGUUGGUGGGGUAAUGACCCACCAAGGCGACGAUCCAUAGCUGGUCUGAGAGGAUGAUCAGCCACACUGGGACUGAGACACGGCCCAGACUCCUACGGGAGGCAGCAGUGGGGAAUAUUGGACAAUGGGGGCAACCCUGAUCCAGCCAUGCCGCGUGUGUGAAGAAGGCUUUCGGGUUGUAAAGCACUUUCAGUGGGGAGGAAAUGGCAGCGGUUAAUACCCGCGGUCUAUGACGUUACCUACAGAAGAAGCACCGGCUAACUCCGUGCCAGCAGCCGCGGUAAUACGGAGGGUGCAAGCGU